Molecule: ribosomal RNA, 465 nt
Filed under: Vreelandella stevensii
Lineage: Bacteria; Pseudomonadati; Pseudomonadota; Gammaproteobacteria; Oceanospirillales; Halomonadaceae
Description: partial 16S ribosomal RNA
Rfam family: Bacterial small subunit ribosomal RNA
Source: RNAcentral
CCUACGGGGGGCUGCAGUGGGGAAUAUUGGACAAUGGGGGGAACCCUGAUCCAGCCAUGCCGCGUGUGUGAAGAAGGCCCUCGGGUUGUAAAGCACUUUCAGUGAGGAAGAACGCCUGGUGGUUAAUACCCAUCAGGAAAGACAUCACUCACAGAAGAAGCACCGGCUAACUCCGUGCCAGCAGCCGCGGUAAUACGGAGGGGGCGAGCGUUAAUCGGAAUUACUGGGCGUAAAGCGCGCGUAGGUGGCUUGAUAAGCCGGUUGUGAAAGCCCCGGGCUCAACCUGGGAACGGCAUCCGGAACUGUCAAGCUAGAGUGCAGGAGAGGAAGGUAGAAUUCCCGGUGUAGCGGUGAAAUGCGUAGAGAUCGGGAGGAAUACCAGUGGCGAAGGCGGCCUUCUGGACUGACACUGACACUGAGGUGCGAAAGCGUGGGUAGCAAACAGGAUUAGAUACCCUGGUAGUC